GAUGAACGCUGGCGGCGUGCCUAAUACAUGCAAGUCGAGCGAACGGACGAGAAGCUUGCUUCUCUGAUGUUAGCGGCGGACGGGUGAGUAACACGUGGAUAACCUACCUAUAAGACUGGGAUAACUUCGGGAAACAGGAGCUAAUACCGGAUAAUAUUUUGAACCGCAUGGUUCAAAAGUGAAAGACGGUCUUGCUGUCACUUAUAGAUGGAUCCGCGCUGCAUUAGCUAGUUGGUAAGGUAACGGCUUACCAAGGCAACGAUGCAUAGCCGACCUGAGAGGAUGAUCGGCCACACUGGAACUGAGACACGGUCCAGACUCCUACGGGAGGCAGCAGUAGGGAAUCUUCCGCAAUGGGCGAAAGCCUGACGGAGCAACGCCGCGUGAGUGAUGAAGGUCUUCGGAUCGUAAAACUCUGUUAUUAGGGAAGAACAGAUGUGGAAGUAACUGUGCACAUCUUGACGGUACCUAAUCAGAAAGCAACGGCUAACUACGUG
This 497-nucleotide ribosomal RNA is filed under the name uncultured bacterium. RNAcentral describes it as "partial 16S ribosomal RNA". It matches the Rfam family "Bacterial small subunit ribosomal RNA", at positions 28 to 507 of the family's 1533-position model. The record is from RNAcentral.